UUUGUUUAGAUCACGAGUUUAAGUCAGACGGGAGAGGAGGGAUGUCUUCCGAUGCCGAUGAUGAUUUGGGGUUUGAACUCAAAGAAGAUAUUGUAAAAAUAAAGAUCAGAUGGGAAGGGAAACGGAGAUAGAAGGUGGCACAGAAGAAUGUGAGAUGGUGAUGAACCGAUGAUUCAGAUUUGCAGAAAAAUGAAAAUUCUAAAAAUAAAAACAAACAAAAAAGAGUAAAUAAUAUAAUAUUUUUACCCUUAACCAAAAUACUUUUCUGUAUUUUAACUAAGUCCAUAAUGUAAGUAAUAAGGGCAAGAGGGUCAUUGUAAAUUAGAAAUAUGUGGGGGAAAGAUCUAAAUGUAUAUCUAUCCUAUACUAAAAGGCAGAUAUAGAGUGAUUUUAGCAUGUCCACGUAGGCAAAUAUAUUUGGCCAAUCAAAACAUUUCAUUAAAACACGUUGGAUCUCCUACAUUAAGCUAUUGAUUUUGUAUGGGCUUUGAUGUGCUUCUGCUGGGCUACAAUCUAUCGCUACAAUUAACCAAAAAAAAAGCAGCCCUAGACAGAAGUCUCUACGGCUCUACCUCUUCGUCUUCUUCGCUUGAUACCACAGCGAUUCAGCUUGAUUGAUCCACUUCUGUAUAAUCAAUACUCCACUACAUCUCGAUCAACCAAUUUCUUCUUAAUGAUUUCGUUUCGGUUUUCUCUUUUCCUCCUUCUUUAUAUACUCAUUUUCUUCCUGUGUACAAAUCAAACCCUAAAACUUCUCUAACUUCAAUCUAUGGCGAUGAAACCAAAUGGGAAAUCUCCUAUCACCUCCGAGGAUCUCAGCCGCCGCUACUCCCACCAGCUCAUCUCCGUCGUCGUUUACUGCCACUCACGCGGUGUGAGCUGAUGGGCGUGGAUAUGCUACUUAUUGAUCCAAGGCAAAAGCUCAUCCACGUCUUUAUCAAUUUUCACCGUCUUAACACCUUUAAACCAAAGCCGCAACGAAGCAGGAAACUACCGGAGCUUGGCUGAGAUCGCCAUGAAAGCAUAGAAGCAAUAUCCAGCCAACGAAUUUACUUUAUUAAUCUCAUACAAGGCUCAAAAGGAACGAAUGAAGCAAGAAAUUACAGGAACAGGCACUAAUGGCCGAGUUGGGGAGCCUGUUCAUGGUUCUAUUGGCAAGAACCGAGAUGUAACUGAAGAGAAGAGUAGCUUUGACCUUGCAGAAACCAAAUAUGGAAACACGGUUGAGAAACGCAGUUAGUAAACUUUUCAAACUUCUAAUGCCCACGGAGAAAUACACCACAGGAGUAAAGAACAUGGUGCUUGAGACUCUGUUUUCUGCAAAAAUUGAAGGCUUUGUGGAUGGAUUCAGAGGUGAAACCAAAGCGGCCAGCACGGAAAAAACGGUGGACAAGUAGUUGAGAAUCAUAAGCUGGAGAUGAAGUAAAGAGCAAUGAAAUGGCAUCUUUGGCUAGAUCGAGGGAAAAUCUGAUGCUUCGUGUAGCCUCUUAUGCUUCAUGUAGCCUCUUAUGCUUAGACGUAUGACAUGAGAUUUUCUCAUCCCACGGAUCAGUUGUGCCGGUAGCGACAAGGAGUAUCAAGUUCAAUGCAGACCAAUUAGGAGAUUAAGAAGAGUGUGUGUGGGGGAGAGAGGCUGUGCUGUGUAAGAAUAGGGAGAGGGAAUACUCAUAAGGAUGAAUUUGAGAGAAUUUUGUUGUUGUCAUUGUAGUCAUAAACGGUUAAUUUCAUUAGUUUUCCCAACA
Long non-coding RNA from Brassica napus (rape), 1742 nucleotides. RefSeq lists it as uncharacterized. The record is from RefSeq and is a predicted model, not a curated record. NCBI's taxonomy places the organism in Eukaryota, Viridiplantae, Streptophyta, Magnoliopsida, Brassicales, Brassicaceae. The transcript has 4 exons.